RNAcentral lists this ribosomal RNA (223 nucleotides) under uncultured Chlamydiales CRG81. RNAcentral describes it as "partial 16S ribosomal RNA". It matches the Rfam family "Bacterial small subunit ribosomal RNA", at positions 66 to 273 of the family's 1533-position model. Lineage: Bacteria; Pseudomonadati; Chlamydiota; Chlamydiia; Chlamydiales. The record is from RNAcentral.
ACGAAGCUAUAGGGUAACCUGUAGCUUAGUGGCGGAAGGGUUAGUAAUACAUGAAUAACCUACCUUUUACCUGGGGAUAACGACUGGGAACGGUCGCUAAUACCGAAUGAGGUGUCCUGAAGAAAUUUGGGACUAUCAAAGUGGGGGACCUUGAAAGGGGUCUUGCGGUAGAAGAGGGGUUCAUGGGAUAUCAGCUAGUUGGUGUGGUAAAGGCACACCAAGG